AUUUAACGCUGGCGGCAGGCCUAACACAUGCAAGUCGAACGAGUGGCGGACGGGUGAGUAAGUUCUGGGAAACUGCCUGAUGGAGGGGGAUAACUACUGGAAACGGUAGCUAAUACCGACUACCCUCAGAUGUGCCAAGAUGGGAUUAGCUAGUUGGUGGGGUAACGGCUCACCAAGGCGACGAUCCCUAGCUGGUAUGAGAGGAUUACCAGCCACACUGAAAAUGAGACACGGUCCAGACUCCUACGGUAGGCAGCAGUGGGGAAGAUUGCAAAAUGGGCGCAAGCCUUAUGCAGCCACGCCGCGUGGAUGAAGAAGGCCGUCGAGUUGUAAAGUACUUUAAGCGGGGAGGCGUUACCCGCAUAAGAAGCACCGGCUAACUCCGUGCCAGCAGCCGCGGUAAUAC
RNAcentral lists this ribosomal RNA (406 nucleotides) under uncultured bacterium. Its description in RNAcentral is "partial 16S ribosomal RNA". It matches the Rfam family "Bacterial small subunit ribosomal RNA", at positions 30 to 526 of the family's 1533-position model. The record is from RNAcentral.